AUUGAACGCUGGCGGCAUGCCUAACACAUGCAAGUCGAACGGCAGCACGGCAGUAGCAAUACUGUGGGUGGCGAGUGGCGGACGGGUGAGGAAUACGUCGGAAUCUGCCCAGUCGUGGGGGAUAACUAGCCGAAAGGUUAGCUAAUACCGCAUACGACCGAGAGGUGAAAGCGGGGGACCGCAAGGCCUCGCGCGAUUGGAUGAGCCGACGUCGGAUUAGCUAGUUGGUGGGGUAAAGGCCACCAAGGCGACGAUCCGUAGCUGGUCUGAGAGGAUGAUCAGCCACACUGGAACUGAGACACGGUCCAGACUCCUACGGGAGGCAGCAGUGGGGAAUAUUGGACAAUGGGCGCAAGCCUGAUCCAGCAAUGCCGCGUGUGUGAAGAAGGCCUCGGUUGUAAG
This 402-nucleotide ribosomal RNA is filed under the name uncultured bacterium. RNAcentral describes it as "bacterial SSU rRNA". It matches the Rfam family "Bacterial small subunit ribosomal RNA", at positions 29 to 429 of the family's 1533-position model. The record is from RNAcentral.